GAUGAAGAACGUAGCGAAAUGCGAUAAGUAAUGUGAAUUGCAGAAUUCAGUGAAUCAUCGAAUCUUUGAACGCACCUUGCGCUCCUUGGUAUUCCGAGGAGCAUGCCUGUUUGAGUGUCAUUAAUAUAUCAACCUUCUCUUUUUUGAGUUGUUUGGAUGUGGGGGUUUGCUGGCCUCUUAAAUGAUUCAGCUCCCCUGAAAUGCAUUAGCAGAACAACCUGUUCAUUAGCGUGAUAAUUAUCUAUGCUAUUGAAUGUGAGGGCAGUUCAGCUUUCUAACCGUCCUUGGACAAUUCAUCAUUAAUGUGACCUCAAAUCAGGUAGGACUACCCGCUGAACUUAAGCAUAUCAAUAAGCGGGGGA
This 362-nucleotide unclassified non-coding RNA is filed under the name soil metagenome. RNAcentral's name for it is "partial contains 5.8S ribosomal RNA, internal transcribed spacer 2, and large subunit ribosomal RNA". The stretch from base 1 to 120 matches the Rfam family "5.8S ribosomal RNA", at positions 35 to 154 of the family's 154-position model. The record is from RNAcentral.